This 501-nucleotide ribosomal RNA is filed under the name Triticum aestivum (bread wheat). RNAcentral's name for it is "partial small subunit ribosomal RNA". The record is from RNAcentral. Lineage: Eukaryota; Viridiplantae; Streptophyta; Magnoliopsida; Poales; Poaceae.
AUGGCCAUGGAACGCACACCACACAGCCACCCACCAACACAUCCAUGGCCGGCGCGGGCAAGCAGGCCAUCCGCAGGGGCGGGGAGCAGGGCGGCCGCGCUUGGCGGAUGCGAGGGCGGUGAGCAGGGCGGCGCCGCGGGUGGAGAGCAGGGCCGCCGCACUAGCAGCGAGCUUGGCGGAUGCUCAGGCGACGAGCUCGCCGGACGCGCGGGCGACGAGCAUGACGCGCAGCGGCAGCUCACUCCACCGUCGACUGCUCAGCGCAAGGGCGCGACUGCUUCUUCCCUCGGGCGCGCGGCGGACUCUUCACUCGGGCGCGCCGUGUCCACUUCCCUCGAGCAUGGCGCGUUACGGCAACUACAGAGGAGCUCCUCCCUCCGGCGUCGGCCACCCGACACUGCACUGGCGCGCGGCUGUCCCCCCCUCUCUCUCCAGGAACCAGCGAGCACGGUCGGGCGGCGGUGCGGGUACCAGGGUCGGGCGAGCGUGGCUGUCCUGUGA